RNAcentral lists this small RNA (379 nucleotides) under Janthinobacterium sp. KBS0711. RNAcentral's name for it is "cspA thermoregulator". It matches the Rfam family "cspA thermoregulator". The record is from Rfam by way of RNAcentral. Lineage: Bacteria; Pseudomonadati; Pseudomonadota; Betaproteobacteria; Burkholderiales; Oxalobacteraceae.
AAUGCUGUAUCGACUGUUGCAGUAAUGUACAGCUUGAUAAGAAGUGAGACGUCGAGGAGGGGGCAAGAAGCUUCUUGCUUUUAUGGCUCGUGUGAUUUGUUUUAAUUUUGAAAGUUCUUUUUAUGGCAACAGGUACAGUUAAGUGGUUCAAUGAUUCCAAAGGUUUUGGCUUCAUCACUCCAGAUGAUGGCGGCGAAGAUUUGUUUGCUCAUUUCUCCGCAAUCAACAUGAACGGUUUCAAGACCCUCAAAGAAGGUCAAAAAGUUCAAUUCGAAGUCACGCAAGGCCCUAAAGGCAAGCAAGCUUCCAACAUCCAAGCAGCCUAAGCAUCGCCGGCCCUCAGAUGUGAAAAACCCCGUUUUCGAACGGGGUUUUUUUU